This 292-nucleotide ribosomal RNA is filed under the name uncultured bacterium. RNAcentral's name for it is "partial 16S ribosomal RNA". The record is from RNAcentral.
GGACUACCAGGGUUUCUAAUCCUGUUUGCUCCCCACGCUUUCGCACCUCAGUGUCAGUGUUGGACCAGGAAGCCGCCUUCGCCACUGAUGUUCCUCCAGAUAUCUACGCAUUUCACCGCUACACCUGGAAUUCCGCUUCCCUCUUCCACACUCUAGCAAGACAGUCUUGAAUGCAAUUCCCAAGUUAAGCUCGGGGAUUUCACAUCCAACUUAUCAAGCCACCUACGUGCGCUUUACGCCCAGUAAUUCCGAUUAACGCUUGCACCCUCUGUAUUACCGCGGCGGCUGGCAC